GGAGGAUUCGCCUAGUGGCCUAGGGCGCACGCUUGGAAAGCGUGUUGGGGGCAACCCCUCAUGGGUUCGAAUCCCAUAUCCUCCGCCC
RNAcentral lists this transfer RNA (88 nucleotides) under Streptomyces armeniacus. Its description in RNAcentral is "tRNA-Ser". It matches the Rfam family "tRNA". Rfam says of the family: Transfer RNA (tRNA) molecules are approximately 80 nucleotides in length. Their secondary structure includes four short double-helical elements and three loops (D, anti-codon, and T loops). The record is from RNAcentral. Lineage: Bacteria; Bacillati; Actinomycetota; Actinomycetes; Kitasatosporales; Streptomycetaceae.